CCUACGGGAGGCAGCAGUGGGGAAUAUUGCACAAUGGGGGAAACCCUGAUGCAGCGACGCCGCGUGAGUGAAGAAGUAAUUCGUUAUGUAAAGCUCUAUCAGCAGGGAAGAAAAUGACGGUACCUGAGUAAGAAGCCCCGGCUAACUACGUGCCAGCAGCCGCGGCAAUACGUAGGGGGAAAGCGUUAUCCGGAUUUACUGGGUGUAAAGGGAGCGUAGACGGCAGUGCAAGUCUGGAGUGAAAGGCGGGGGCUCAACCCCCGGACUGUUCUGGAAACUGUACGGCGGGAGUGCAGGAGAGGUAAGUGGAAUUCCUAGGGUAGCGGUGAAAUGCGUAGAUAUUAGGAGGAACACCAGUGGCGAAGGCGGCUUACUGGACUGUAACUGACGUUGAGGCUCGAAAGCGUGGGGAGCAAACAGGAUUAGAUACCCGUGUAGUC
This 440-nucleotide ribosomal RNA is filed under the name uncultured bacterium. Its description in RNAcentral is "partial 16S ribosomal RNA". It matches the Rfam family "Bacterial small subunit ribosomal RNA", at positions 338 to 795 of the family's 1533-position model. The record is from RNAcentral.